AUUGAACGCUGGCGGAAUGCUUUACACAUGCAAGUCGAACGGCAGCACGGGGGCAACCCUGGUGGCGAGUGGCGAACGGGUGAGUAAUAUAUCGGAACGUGCCCAGUCGUGGGGGAUAACGUAGCGAAAGUUACGCUAAUACCGCAUACGAUCUACGGAUGAAAGCGGGGGAUCGCAAGACCUCGCGCGAUUGGAGCGGCCGAUAUCAGAUUAGGUAGUUGGUGGGGUAAAGGCUCACCAAGCCAACGAUCUGUAGCUGGUCUGAGAGGACGACCAGCCACACUGGGACUGAGACACGGCCCAGACUCCUACGGGAGGCAGCAGUGGGGAAUUUUGGACAAUGGACGCAAGUCUGAUCCAGCCAUUCCGCGUGCAGGACGAAGGCCUUCGGGUUGUAAACUGCUUUUGUACGGAACGAAAAAGCUCUUACUAAUACUAGGAGUCCAUGACGGUACCGUAAGAAUAAGCACCGGCUAACUACGUGCCAGCAGCCGCGGUAAUACGUAGGGUGCGAGCGUUAAUCGGAAUUACUGGGCGUAAAGCGUGCGCAGGCGGUUAUAUAAGACAGAUGUGAAAUCCCCGGGCUCAACCUGGGAACUGCAUUUGUGACUGUAUAGCUAGAGUGCGGCAGAGGGGGAUGGAAUUCCGCGUGUAGCAGUGAAAUGCGUAGAUAUGCGGAGGAACACCGAUGGCGAAGGCAAU
This 702-nucleotide ribosomal RNA is filed under the name Pseudomonadota bacterium. RNAcentral describes it as "bacterial SSU rRNA". It matches the Rfam family "Bacterial small subunit ribosomal RNA", at positions 28 to 725 of the family's 1533-position model. Lineage: Bacteria; Pseudomonadati; Pseudomonadota. The record is from RNAcentral.